GAUGAACGCUGGCGGCGUGCCUAAUACAUGCAAGUCGAGCGAACGGACGAGAAGCUUGCUUCUCUGAUGUUAGCGGCGGACGGGUGAGUAACACGUGGAUAACCUACCUAUAAGACUGGGAUAACUUCGGGAAACCGGAGCUAAUACCGGAUAAUAUUUUGAACCGCAUGGUUCAAAAGUGAAAGACGGUCUUGCUGUCACUUAUAGAUGGAUCCGCGCUGCAUUAGCUAGUUGGUAAGGUAACGGCUUACCAAGGCAACGAUGCAUAGCCGACCUGAGAGGGUGAUCGGCCGCACUGGAACUGAGACACGGUCCAGACUCCUACGGGAGGCAGCAGUAGGGAAUCUUCCGCAAUGGGCGAAAGCCUGACGGAGCAACGCCGCGUGAGUGAUGAAGGUCUUCGGAUCGUAAAACUCUGUUAUUAGGGAAGAACAUAUGUGUAAGUAACUGUGCACAUCUUGACGGUACCUAAUCAGAAAGCCACGGCUAACUACGUGCCAGCAGCCGCGGUAAUACGUAGGUGGCAAGCGUUAUCCGGAAUUAUUGGGCGUAAAGCGCGCGUAGGCGGUUUUUUAAGUCUGAUGUGAAAGCCCACGGCUCAACCGUGGAGGGUCAUUGGAAACUGGAAAACUUGAGUGCAGAAGAGGAAAGUGGAAUUCCAUGUGUAGCGGUGAAAUGCGCAGAGAUAUGGAGGAACACCAGUGGCGAAGGCGACUUUCUGGUCUGUAACUGACGCUGAUGUGCGAAAGCGUGGGGAUCAAACAGGAUUAGAUACCCUGGUAGUCCACGCCGUAAACGAUGAGUGCUAAGUGUUAGGGGGUUUCCGCCCCUUAGUGCUGCAGCUAACGCAUUAAGCACUCCGCCUGGGGAGUACGACCGCAAGGUUGAAACUCAAAGGAAUUGACGGGGACCCGCACAAGCGGUGGAGCAUGUGGUUUAAUUCGAAGCAACGCGAAGAACCUUACCAAAUCUUGACAUCCUUUGACAACUCUAGAGAUAGAGCCUUCCCCUUCGGGGGACAAAGUGACAGGUGGUGCAUGGUCGUCGUCAGCUCGUGUCGUGAGAUGUUGGGUUAAGUCCCGCAACGAGCGCAACCCUUAAGCUUAGUUGCCAUCAUUAAGUUGGGCACUCUAAGUUGACUGCCGGUGACAAACCGGAGGAAGGUGGGGAUGACGUCAAAUCAUCAUGCCCCUUAUGAUUUGGGCUACACACGUGCUACAAUGGACAAUACAAAGGGCAGCGAAACCGCGAGGUCAAGCAAAUCCCAUAAAGUUGUUCUCAGUUCGGAUUGUAGUCUGCAACUCGACUACAUGAAGCUGGAAUCGCUAGUAAUCGUAGAUCAGCAUGCUACGGUGAAUACGUUCCCGGGUCU
This 1372-nucleotide ribosomal RNA is filed under the name uncultured bacterium. Its description in RNAcentral is "bacterial SSU rRNA". It matches the Rfam family "Bacterial small subunit ribosomal RNA", at positions 28 to 1381 of the family's 1533-position model. The record is from RNAcentral.